AUCUUGGUAGCUUAAAAUUAAAGCAUUAGACUUGUAAACUAAAAACGGGCAAACCACUCCCCCCAAGAUC
Molecule: transfer RNA, 70 nt
Filed under: Gonocephalus grandis (Giant forest dragon)
Lineage: Eukaryota; Metazoa; Chordata; Lepidosauria; Squamata; Agamidae
Description: tRNA-Thr
Rfam family: tRNA
About the family: Transfer RNA (tRNA) molecules are approximately 80 nucleotides in length. Their secondary structure includes four short double-helical elements and three loops (D, anti-codon, and T loops).
Source: RNAcentral